AGAGGAAUAGCUGGGUCAAAUGGUGGUGCCAUUCCCAGCUUUCCAAGGAAUCUCCAUACUGCUUUCCAAAUUGGCUGCACCAAUUUGAGGACCCACCAGCAGU
RNAcentral lists this microRNA precursor (103 nucleotides) under Marmota monax (woodchuck). The record is from RNAcentral. Lineage: Eukaryota; Metazoa; Chordata; Mammalia; Rodentia; Sciuridae.